UGGGGCACCAGCACCAGGUCCACGUCGCAGAGGUCGGGCUGGAAGAGGCGCUGCUCGUUCAGGCGGCCCAUCAAGCAGGCGAAGUGCAGCGCCACGUCCUCCACCAGCGAGAACUCGGCCGCCGGUAAUAGAAGUGAGCUGACAAAUGUGCACCGACUUUCUUCCUUACUCCAGAGUGUGGAUCUGUGUUUCAGAUGAUUCUGAAGAGGAAGAGGAAUUGGAAGAGGAAUCCGAGUCUUCUGAACGAGUUGGUUUCUUUCUCUUCUUCUCAAAAACUUUUAAGAAACAUGAACAAAAAUAUUAGUACUAUAAGAACCUACCCAUGAGA
This is a long non-coding RNA of Ochotona princeps (American pika), 328 nucleotides long. RefSeq lists it as uncharacterized. The transcript has 3 exons. NCBI's taxonomy places the organism in Eukaryota, Metazoa, Chordata, Mammalia, Lagomorpha, Ochotonidae. The record is from RefSeq and is a predicted model, not a curated record.